This 506-nucleotide ribosomal RNA is filed under the name uncultured bacterium. RNAcentral describes it as "partial 16S ribosomal RNA". It matches the Rfam family "Bacterial small subunit ribosomal RNA", at positions 28 to 523 of the family's 1533-position model. The record is from RNAcentral.
GAUGAACGCUAGCUACAGGCUUAACGCAUGCAAGUCGAGGGGUAACAAGAGAAAAGCUUGCUUUUCUUGUUGACGACCGGCGCACGGGUGAGUAACGCGUAUCCAACCUGCCUAUAACUAGGGAAUAACCUUGCGAAAGUAAGACUAAUACCCUAUGAUUUCCUUUGAUGACAUCAGAUUAGGAAUAAAGAUUUAGCGGUUAUAGAGGGGGAUGCGUCUUAUUAGCUUGUUGGCGGGGUAACGGCCCACCAAGGCAACGAUCAGUAGGGGUUCUGAGAGGAAGGUCCCCCACAUUGGAACUGAGACACGGUCCAAACUCCUACGGGAGGCAGCAGUGAGGAAUAUUGGUCAAUGGGCGGAAGCCUGAACCAGCCAAGUAGCGUGCAGGAUGGCGGCCCUAUGGGUUGUAAACUGCUUUUAUACAGGAAUAAAGUUAGCCACGUGUGGUUAUUUGUAGGUACUGUAUGAAUAAGGACCGGCUAAUUCCGUGCCAGCAGCCGCCGUAA